Long non-coding RNA from Orcinus orca (killer whale), 532 nucleotides. RefSeq lists it as uncharacterized. Lineage: Eukaryota; Metazoa; Chordata; Mammalia; Artiodactyla; Delphinidae. The record is from RefSeq and is a predicted model, not a curated record. The transcript is spliced from 4 exons.
AGGGCCGGAUAAUUAACACCUCAGGGAGCAUCCCUCAACCAAUGACUGAUCAGAAGUGGUGGAUAGAGCCUCAGAGGGUACCUCCUCGUCCUCGUGGGAUCACUUGGAGACACACGUCCUGAGCUACCUCGGCGAGAUCCCUAUCAGGAUUAAGCCCGUGUUGCCACCCCUGUGAUGAGAAUGGCAGCUGGAGGUUGGAGAACAUUCCUUGCAUAAUGAAAGCAACCCUUAUGGAACCAGCUGAGCUUCCAAGUCAACAGAGAGAGCCCUCGGAACCACUCUAUCUAGAGAUUUCGGGAACUGAAGCUUCCAGUGGGUCAGUGAAGGCAGGAGAACGUCAGUGCACAAUCUAGACACUGCUCUGGCCACUUUGGGGAUCUCUGUGUUUCUGUGACCUCCAGCUGUGAGAUGGUGUACCUUCCGGGCAGAUAGAUGAGAGAAGAAGCUUGUCCUGUAGGAAUCCAUCUCCUUUCCACCCUGGAGAGCCUCAUCCAUCACUUGUCAUUGCAGAGACCCAGCUGAUGCAUGCUCA